Molecule: non-coding RNA, 414 nt
Organism: Danio aesculapii
Lineage: Eukaryota; Metazoa; Chordata; Actinopteri; Cypriniformes; Danionidae
Source: the annotation of a RefSeq genome assembly
AUGUUGAUGAUGUUGUUCCUGACCCUCCUGAUAUUUACUCUUUUUAAAGAGAAUGCUGGUGAAGUAGUGAUAAGACCACUCUUCAAAGAGAAACAUGUUUUGGAAGGAGAUGUUGUUACACUGAUCUGCAGCUACUCUGGAAAUGUUCAGAAUCUGCAGUGGUACCAUCAUUUUCCCGGAUCCAAACCUGAAAAUAUAUUUCUUUACUUCGAGAACAAGCCUACAACUAAGAACCGCAUAACCGCUUCAUCUGAUAAAGCAGUCAAACAUAUGAAUCUGACCAUCAUUUCUACACAAGUGACAGACUCUUCUGUGUACUACUGUGCCCUGCGGCCCACAGUGACAGGAAACACAACUACACUGUACAAAAACUGCAAGAGCAAUUAUAUUCAUGACAGAAGACUAUACAGUUAA